AAGUGCCUCAAUGAGUCAGUGUGUCUGGCUCUUAACCAGAAGGUUGGUGGUUCAAGCCCACCCAGGGAUA
Molecule: transfer RNA, 70 nt
Filed under: Podarcis lilfordi (Lilford's wall lizard)
Lineage: Eukaryota; Metazoa; Chordata; Lepidosauria; Squamata; Lacertidae
Description: tRNA.Lys
Rfam family: tRNA (bases 3-63)
About the family: Transfer RNA (tRNA) molecules are approximately 80 nucleotides in length. Their secondary structure includes four short double-helical elements and three loops (D, anti-codon, and T loops). Further hydrogen bonds mediate the characteristic L-shaped molecular structure. tRNAs have two regions of fundamental functional importance: the anti-codon, which is responsible for specific mRNA codon recognition, and the 3' end, to which the tRNAs corresponding amino acid is attached (by aminoacyl-tRNA synthetases). tRNAs cope with the degeneracy of the genetic code in two manners: having more than one tRNA (with a specific anti-codon) for a particular amino acid; and 'wobble' base-pairing, i.e. permitting non-standard base-pairing at the 3rd anti-codon position.
Source: RNAcentral